This is an unclassified non-coding RNA of Cricetulus griseus (Chinese hamster), 288 nucleotides long. Its record names the gene 7SK. It matches the Rfam family "7SK RNA". From Rfam's summary of the family: 7SK was discovered as an abundant small nuclear RNA in the mid-70s but a possible function has only recently been suggested. The record is from Ensembl. Lineage: Eukaryota; Metazoa; Chordata; Mammalia; Rodentia; Cricetidae.
AGAUGUGAGGGCGAUCUGGCUGCAACAUCUGUCACUCCAUUGAUCGCCAGGGUUGAUUCGGCUGAUCUGACUGGCUAGGCGGGUGGCCCCUUCCUCUCUCACCUCUCCGUGUGUGCUUGGUCGAAGAGGACGACCUUCCCCGAAUAGAAGAGGGCGGGUGCAAGCAUUUCCUACCAUAUUUCUUACUUUGGUCCAGUUUUGGAGAGUGACCCUUUCUUUCCUCUAAAGCAGUUAAUUUACAUCAAAAUGAUUGCUGUUGUGUAUCCAUCACGGGGCUAAAGCUUCUUU